RNAcentral lists this ribosomal RNA (255 nucleotides) under uncultured soil bacterium. Its description in RNAcentral is "partial 16S ribosomal RNA". It matches the Rfam family "Bacterial small subunit ribosomal RNA", at positions 26 to 285 of the family's 1533-position model. The record is from RNAcentral.
AGGACGAACGCUGGCGGCGUGCUUAACACAUGCAAGUCGAGCGGUAAGGCUCCUUCGGGAGUACACGAGCGGCGAACGGGUGAGUAACACGUGAGCAAUCUGCCCUUCUCUUCGGAAUAACCAUUGGAAACGAUGGCUAAUGCCGAAUACGACCUCCUUUCGCAUGAUCGGAGGUGGAAAGCUCCGGCGGAGAAGGAUCGAGCGUCGCGGCCUAUCGAGCUAGUGGCGGGUAACGGCCACAGGCGACGACGGGUA